UUAUAAUUUUUUUUUCACAGCAACUGUAUCUUAAAAGUUACAGUACUUUAAUUCCAAAUAAGAUCUCAAUCGUCAAAUCCAAACGCACAAACUUUCCUAAAACAUGAGCCUCAAGAAUUACAAAUACCUAAAACUAUGAAUAUAACAAUGAAGCAACCGACGAAUAUCACUAAUAAUUCAAAAGAUCUAAUUAUAUUGUCCGACUAUAUACUAAUCUCAUUGUGAAUCAAUUUCACCACAUUCAAAAGAGUCAAACCAAUAAUGAUUGGAAAAAAGAACUCCAAUUCAAAGUCAUUAGUGAAUCAAAUCACAUCGCGUCAGCCCCCACUAAAUCAACAUCCAUCCGCCGAAAAUGCAGUUUACUGUUAGUCAGUAAUACAAUUAGUGUUGAUUAAUUAAUGCACUGUCGCAAUGUUUUAAAUAAAAUUUAUGAAAAUCAUAUAAAAUCCUUUCAAAACUCACAUUAUUUAAAAAAGAAAAAGAAAAAAGCAAACAUUAUAUAAUUGCUUUUAUUUACGAUUAGUUAAUUUGUUGUUUUUAAAAUCAAUUACUGGUCAAGGGCACUUCAUGAUUCAGACUAGGUGCAUUCCUGUGGUCCGCUCUUAAUUAUUAUAUGGUGUUUGAUUAAUUUUAUAAUCUAAAUUAUGUCUUUUCUUAUUCAUGCUAAUCAUUGACCCAUAACUGAAACUGAAUCUGACUAACCUUAUAGGGCGAGUUUCGAUUUCACAUCUCUUAUACAUAGAUUAUUCGAUUGUUUAUUGUUCAUUAAUUAAAGUAGAAUUCAUGGCUUGAACGUAAAGUGUUGAUGCCUAAAAUCUGAUCUAGUCUAUUAGCGAUUUAAUAUCAGACUUCUACACCAACAUUAGAUUUAUUUGGUAGAGAAUCGAUUGGUCAAUCGUCUAGAUGUCCUGCAACCACCAGCGAUUAAUCUAUGAAUAUCUAAAAUCAUAGAAGACGGUCAGAGGCGCCGGAAGUUUUUCCGGCGUGAAGCCUCCGACGCUCAAGUCAGUUUCUAGGCCUUUCGGAAAAAUUUGUGCCAUCACUCAUGUGGCUUAAUAAGCAUUGCCUUCAAACCCAAAGCUUUUCGAGUAAUUUACAAAAAGUAAAGUACAGUGUAAAAGCAAGAAUUUUUCAUGAGAGGAAGAGAGCCAAAAAAGCCCCCUGGAGAAGAGAGAAAAAAUAAAUAAAUAAUCCCCCCUAGGUAACUCCCCACUCCCCUCUUUCCUCCUUCUUCUCUCCCACUCUCGGAAGUUAUGGAUGAGAUAAAAGUCAUGCCCCCAUUCUCCCUUUUUUCCUCCUUUUAUCCGUUACCAAACAUAAAGUACCCAUAAUCUGUUGUUUUAGGAAACUCAAAUGCUUUUUUUUUUUAUGCCAAAACAAAACGAUUAAUGAGUCUACCUUCCAGUUGACUAUAAAGAUUAGUGUUCCUUCAUAAAUUAUGUGUAAAAAAUAUGAACAGAAAAGAGUGAUUGAGGCAGGUUGUGAGUUGAAGGGGUGGCUCCUUAUUGAUUUUGUUGUCAGGCAUGAAUGCAUGCAUACGUGGACGUAGGAGUUAAAAGCUGAGAUAGACCAAAUCGAUCAGCCAAUCUUUAAGAAUCUUAUCAUCAUUCCAACUCACAAGAAAAGGUGCCCCCCUCCAGAUACACAAAUCUAGAGAUUGGCCUUUCGCGGCAAAAAAAUCAAGAAUCAAUCUUUCUCUGCUUUCUCAUUCGGGCAUAUUAUUGUGCAUCCUCUCGAAUGUCUAUACUAUCCCUUCAUUGCUUGUUAUUUUCGUGCGGCGAUUACUUGUUACGCUAAUCUUAAUGCUUGAGGUUGGAGAACCUUACGCUAUAAAUAAAAUAUAACAAAACGGUAACACUUAAUUAACGUCUCCGACUUUGAUAUCAAUUGUCACAAUUUGGGGCAAAGUCUUGAAUUUUUUUUUCGUUAAAUCAAAUAAUUAAAUUAAAUUAAUAUUCUUUUGGGCAUUUUAAGUUCAUUUAACAAGAAAAGUUAUCAACUUCAAAGCUGUUACUAAAUGAGUGAGGAAUAUCUUGUCAUAAGAAGGAUUUGUAAAACAAGAUGGAUUGGAAAAGAAGUUACGAAAAAUGCUCGUGGCCAGAUUCUAACACAAAUUAAGUGAUAAACUUGUAAAUAAUACUCUGAGAAUUUUGUAAGAUUUAACAAUAAUAGCUAGUUUUGUAAAUAGUGUAUGGUACUUUUGUGAACAACAUUAGUAUUACUGUUAAAAAACAAUAAAAAAAUUUGCUAAAUUUUGAUUGGACUGAAACUCAAUUUUACUCCUUAAUAGCUUUGCCCUUGGUAAUAACUAACAACCUAGGCGCAACAACUAGGUAAAUAUUGUAUGUUUUGGACAUACAACUUACUAUAGUUUUAUUGAUGGCUUUGCAACCAUAACAUGUUGACGCAAUUAGAAGAACCCCAAAUUAUAAACAAGCCAAGACUCUUACUCACUAGCGAUAUAGAAUAUCACAAUGAUUUUGUCAAUCUCAAUAAACUAAAAUGUAGAGACAUUUUUGCUUUAGUGAUGUUGAUUAUUGUUCAAAAGGUAAUUUCUCAAAAAUCUUCCGUCAACAUGGAAAAUUGGUUCAUUGUCCAUCUCGUAGUGUAGGCCUCGUAUGUAUUAAACACAUUUUUAGCUAAACUUAAUAUUUUAGCCUUGUUGAUCUCAGGUUUCGCUAAUGCCGCAAUUUGACUCAUUGGUGUCCCCCC
RNAcentral lists this long non-coding RNA (2712 nucleotides) under Citrus x clementina. RNAcentral describes it as "Citrus clementina (C. clementina) long non-coding RNA (CCLE_LNC003617)". The record is from RNAcentral. Lineage: Eukaryota; Viridiplantae; Streptophyta; Magnoliopsida; Sapindales; Rutaceae.